This 468-nucleotide ribosomal RNA is filed under the name uncultured bacterium. RNAcentral's name for it is "partial 16S ribosomal RNA". It matches the Rfam family "Bacterial small subunit ribosomal RNA", at positions 28 to 507 of the family's 1533-position model. The record is from RNAcentral.
GACGAACGCUGGCGGCGUGCUUAACACAUGCAAGUCGAACGGAAAGGCCCUGCUUUUGUGGGGUGCUCGAGUGGCGAACGGGUGAGUAACACGUGAGUAACCUGCCCUUGACUUUGGGAUAACUUCAGGAAACUGGGGCUAAUACCGGAUAGGAGCUCCUGCUGCAUGGUGGGGGUUGGAAAGUUUCGGCGGUUGGGGAUGGACUCGCGGCUUAUCAGCUUGUUGGUGGGGUAGUGGCUUACCAAGACUUUGACGGGUAGCCGGCCUGAGGGGGUGACCGGCCACAUUGGGACUGAGAUACGGCCCAGACUCCUACGGGAGGCAGCAGUGGGGAAUAUUGCACAAUGGGCGGAAGCCUGAUGCAGCAACGCCGCGUGCGGGAUGACGGCCUUCGGGUUGUAAACCGCUUUCGCCUGUGACGAAGCGUGAGUGACGGUAAUGGGUAAAGAAGCACCGGCUAACUACGUG